UGGGGAAUCUUCCGCAAUGGACGAAAGUCUGACGGAGCAACGCCGCGUGAGUGAAGAAGGUUUUCGGAUCGUAAAACUCUGUCUUUUGGGGCGAACGUGAGUAUGGUGAACAAUCAUAGUCAGUGACGGUACCAAAGGAGGAAGCCACGGCUAACUACGUGCCAGCAGCCGCGGUAAUACGUAGGUGGCAAGCGUUGUCCGGAAUUAUUGGGCGUAAAGAGCGCGUAGGCGGGAUAGUCAGUCUGUUGUAAAGUGCGGGGCUCAACCCCGUGAUCGCAAUGGAAACAGCUAUUCUUGAGUGCAGGAGAGGAAAGUGGAAUUCCCAGUGUAGCGGUGAAAUGCGUAGAUAUUGGGAGGAACACCAGUGGCGAAGGCGACUUUCUGGACUGUGUCUGACGCUGAGGCGCGAAAGCCAGGGGAGCGAACGGGAUUAGAUACCCCGGUAGUCCUGGCCGUAAACGAUGGGUACUAGGUGUGGGAGGUAUCGACCCCUUCCGUGCCGGAGUUAACGCAAUAAGUACCCCGCCUGGGGAGUACGGUCGCAAGACUGAAACUCAAAUGAAUUGACGGGGUCAUAGCUGUUUCCUG
This 588-nucleotide ribosomal RNA is filed under the name uncultured bacterium. RNAcentral describes it as "partial 16S ribosomal RNA". It matches the Rfam family "Bacterial small subunit ribosomal RNA", at positions 355 to 1376 of the family's 1533-position model. The record is from RNAcentral.